CCCUUAGAUGUUCUGGGCUGCACGCGCGCUACACUGAUGCACUCAUCGAGUUUAUGACCUUGUCCGAUAGGAUUGGGUAAUCUUCUUAAAAUGCAUCGUGAUGGGGAUAGAUUAUUGCAAUUAUUAAUCUUCAACGAGGAAUUCCUAGUAAGCGCGAGUCAUCAGCUCGUGCUGAUUACGUCCCUGCCCUUUGUACACACCGCCCGUCGCUCCCACCGAUUGAGUGAUCCGGUGAAUAAUUCGGACUGCAGCAAUGUUUGGAUCCCGAACGUUGCAGUGGAAAGUUUAGUGAACCUUAUCACUUAGAGGAAGGAGAAGUCGUAACA
This 326-nucleotide ribosomal RNA is filed under the name uncultured eukaryote. RNAcentral describes it as "partial 18S ribosomal RNA". It matches the Rfam family "Eukaryotic small subunit ribosomal RNA", at positions 1470 to 1796 of the family's 1831-position model. The record is from RNAcentral.